Molecule: long non-coding RNA, 368 nt
Filed under: Bemisia tabaci
Lineage: Eukaryota; Metazoa; Arthropoda; Insecta; Hemiptera; Aleyrodidae
Description: lncRNA ENSSSA2NGG006265
Source: RNAcentral
CCCCUCCCUCAGCGCCCCCAAAACCACCCCCAAGUCGCCCCGUUGCACUGCCCGCCGGGCUGCUCUUUCCCACUUUCGCUCCCCAAGAUAAAAUUAGACACUCGUUCGGUCCUCAAAAAGUGCUUAUUUUCACCGCCUCGUCCGUGAACGUUUCAACCCCAGUGCAGUGCUUUUCGAAAAUGCAAAAAAAUUGCAUCGUCGGUUGUGUUAUCUCAUCGUCCCGGACGUAUUUUUUGGAUCUUUAUCUGGCUGCGCAAAAGAACGGGACCUUUUUUCUCUUCGACUUCAGCUGUUGGAAGAAAGCCUGGACUUCUUGGAAACCUCCCAAACCACCCACCUUGAUCACAUUGGAUUAUUUUUUUCCUUGA